GACGAACGCUGGCGGCGUGCUUAACACAUGCAAGUCGAACGCUGAAGCUUGGUGCUUGCACUGGGUGGAUGAGUGGCGAACGGGUGAGUAAUACGUGAGUAACCUGCCCUUGACUCUGGGAUAAGCCUGGGAAACUGGGUCUAAUACUGGAUACGACAUGCCACUGCAUGGUGGUGUGUGGAAAGGGUUUUACUGGUUUUGGAUGGGCUCACGGCCUAUCAGCUUGUUGGUGGGGUAAUGGCCUACCAAGGCGACGACGGGUAGCCGGCCUGAGAGGGUGACCGGCCACACUGGGACUGAGACACGGCCCAGACUCCUACGGGAGGCAGCAGUGGGGAAUAUUGCACAAUGGGCGGAAGCCUGAUGCAGCGACGCUGCGUGAGGGAUGACGGCCUUCGGGUUGUAAACCUCUUUCAGCACGGAAGAAGCGAGAGUGACGGUACGUGCAGAAGAAGCGCCGGCUAACUACGUG
RNAcentral lists this ribosomal RNA (472 nucleotides) under uncultured bacterium. RNAcentral describes it as "partial 16S ribosomal RNA". It matches the Rfam family "Bacterial small subunit ribosomal RNA", at positions 28 to 507 of the family's 1533-position model. The record is from RNAcentral.